Molecule: ribosomal RNA, 468 nt
Filed under: uncultured bacterium
Lineage: Bacteria
Description: partial 16S ribosomal RNA
Rfam family: Bacterial small subunit ribosomal RNA
Source: RNAcentral
GACGAACGCUGGCGGCGUGCUUAACACAUGCAAGUCGAACGGAAAGGCCCUGCUUUUGUGGGGUGCUCGAGUGGCGAACGGGUGAGUAACACGUGAGUAACCUGCCCUUGACUUUGGGAUAACUUCAGGAAACUGGGGCUAAUACCGUAUAGGAGCUCCUGCUGCAUGGUGGGGGUUGGAAAGUUUCGGCGGUUGGGGAUGGACUCGCGGCUUAUCAGCUUGUUGGUGGGGUAGUGGCUUACCAAGGCUUUGGAGGGUAGCCGGCCUGUGAGGGUGACCGGCCACAAUGGGACUGAGGUACGGACCAGACUCCUACGGGAGGCAGCAGUGGCGAAUCUUGCACAAUGAGCGGAAGCCUGAUGCAGCAACGCCGGGUGCGGGAUGACGGCCUUCGGGUUGUAAACCGCUUUCGCCUGUGACGAAGCGUGAGUGACGGUAAUGAAUAAAGAAGCACCGGCUAACUACGUG